Picea glauca (white spruce) is the source of this 118-nucleotide non-coding RNA. NCBI's taxonomy places the organism in Eukaryota, Viridiplantae, Streptophyta, Pinopsida, Pinales, Pinaceae. The record is from Rfam.
GUACGUGAAUAUAGUGUUAAUGCACCAGAUCCCAUUAGAACACUGUAGUUAAGCACACUUGGGCUAGAGUAAUACUGGGAUGGGUGACCUCCCAAGAAGUCUUAGUGUUUUACAUGCC